Molecule: long non-coding RNA, 1606 nt
Organism: Sparus aurata (gilthead seabream)
Lineage: Eukaryota; Metazoa; Chordata; Actinopteri; Spariformes; Sparidae
Source: Ensembl
GGCCAAGAUUUGCGCAGUUAGCAUCUAUGUUGGCCUAAUGUUUUAGCUUAUAGCUCAGAGUUCUUAUAUAGCAACAGGCGGACCAUAAACAAUCAGUCUUCCCAAAAUCACGAGACAGUAAUGUCUAUCUUCAAUAAUCUCACUUUUGUUGAAGGUGUACGGAUGUUAGCACAGUUAGCUUUUCGCUGCGGUUAAUAUUUCCCUAUAGAAAAAGCUAAGUCACCGCUGUUGGCUUAGAGCGCGGCCUAAUGUUUUAUAUAGCAGAGCCGAGUAGCGCUGUUAGCUCGUCUAAAUAAUGUUGUAUUGAAACAGACUGACGGAGCCCCGUUACUGUUAGCUAGACAGACAUAUUAUAUAUUUAUGGAGCCCUACAGCUUUGCUAGACGCUGUUGGCCCGGAGCUACUGGGCUCCGAGUAGCCGAGCUAAUGUAGGCCCGUUAGACGUUAGCUUGUCCGGGCUAAUAGCUAACGCUAGCUGUUAGCUUGGCUACUCGGGAAUCCGGCGCCAAGUACCGGAUUAAUAUCGCUGAAACAGACCGACCAUAAACUAUUACAUUCAUUUUUCCGAAAUCAUGAGUAAUCGUGAUCAUGGGAGGGACAGAAAUAUCUAGCUUCAAUAAAAUCCACUUUUAUUAAUGAUUUCAGUAUGCUAAUGUAAGAUAUAACAGGUACUUACCUCUGAUGAGGUCAAAGGGUAUCGUGCAGAGUAGUGAUGGCUCGGUCGCGAACGAAUCAGUUCGAACGAACGAGUCUUUAACGCGAACGAACUGACCUGAUUCCCCGUUUCACUUCUCUCUCGUUCGUUCGUUCAUUCUCACAGACCAGUCACUGUGUUGUUCACUGUUCAGUUAUCAGAGUGGUGAGGAGGACUGAGAGCCAGCCAAUCGUAUGCUGGGUCUAGGACACUGUCGUCGAAUUUUAGCCAAUGAGAACCGUUUACAUAAAAAAAACCCCAUUUCAUUUCGUUCGUAGCUCUCGUUGUCGUUCGGUUAUGAUUCCUCUCCUGUCAUUCUCGUUCGUUCGUUCAUUCUCACAGACCAGUCACUGUGUUGUUCACUGUUCAGUUAUCAGAGUGGUGAGGAGGACUGAGAGCCAGCCAAUCGUAUGCUGGGUCUAGGACACUGUCGUCGAAUUUUAGCCAAUGAGAACCGUUUACAUAAAAAAAACCCCCCAUUUCAUUUCGUUCGUAGCUCUCGUUCUCGUUCGGUUAUGAUUCCUCUCCUGUCAUUCUCGUUCAGUUAGUCACUCGUUCUUGGCUAGCUGGCUUUAGCUGUUAGCUGCUAACUGUCGUGUUGUCCAAAAGUACACAUAAUCAUGUAGUUGCAGCUAUGUAUUUGCCAUUAACAGCUUGUUAUGUUGACCGUUAGCAUGAUCGUUUGAGAACGAGGAGCUGAGAACUGUGCAUUACAAUCACCGCCGUUGUACCGGAAGUGCGACUGAACGAAUGAACGAACGAACUACAUGAACGAGUCAUCCUGCCGAACUGACCGACGGAAACUGAAUCUCGACAUCGAACGAUGAAAUCCACCUCUAAUAAUAAUAAUAAGAAGAGGCACGAGGAAUAACAGCCUAUUAUUGUUAUUCCUCGCGUCUCUUCUUAUUAGUG